RNAcentral lists this ribosomal RNA (772 nucleotides) under uncultured Neocallimastigales. RNAcentral describes it as "partial large subunit ribosomal RNA". The stretch from base 1 to 662 matches the Rfam family "Eukaryotic large subunit ribosomal RNA", at positions 26 to 664 of the family's 3401-position model. Lineage: Eukaryota; Fungi; Neocallimastigomycota; Neocallimastigomycetes; Neocallimastigales. The record is from RNAcentral.
CGCAUCUGUGCAUGCAGCAUAUCAAUAGCGGAGGAAAAGAAACUAACAAGGAUUCCCUCAGUAACGGCGAGUGAAGCGGGAAGAGCUCAAAUUUGAAAUCUUGAAAGGUCACCUUUCACGAAUUGUAGUUUAAAGAAGUGUUUUCUGUUACGAUCGUAAUAUAAGUUCUUUGGAAUAGGACAUCACAGAGGGUGAGAAUCCCGUCUAUGAUUGCGAUUUGUAGCUUUGUGAUACACUUUCAAAGAGUCGGGUUGUUUGGGAAUGCAGCCCAAAACGGGAGGUAAAUUUCUUCUAAGGCUAAAUAUUGGCGAGAGACCGAUAGCGAACAAGUACCGUGAGGGGAAAGAUGAAAAGAACUUUGAAAAGAGAGUUAGAUAGUACGUGAAAUUGUCAAAAGGGAAGCGUUUAACACCAGUGUUGUUUUCUGAAAAUCAACCUCUGUUAGCUUUAUGCAUGUUUGUUUAGACCUAAUCAGCUAUCCUUGCAUGUUCUAUUGUUUGCAGUGGUGCACUUUUCAGUUUACAGGUCAACAUCAGUUUUUUUUACCGUAAAAAAGUUAAAGAAAGGUAGCUCAUGGCUCCGGUCGUGAGUGUUAUAGUCUUUUUCCUAUGCGGUAGGAGAGACUGAGGUCUGCAGUGUAGGCUAUUUGGCUAGAUACUCAGGUGCUAUGUGAUACCAUUUCAUAAACAACUUGUUGAUUAUGUUUUGUCUAUUGCAUACUCGCUUGUACUAUCAUACCUACGCUUAGGAUGUUGACGAUCAGCUGAGCGCG